AGUCACUGACAUUAGAUACCCGUGUAGUCCAGGGUGUAAACGCUGCAGACUUGGUGUUGGAAAUCCUUCGAGGGUAUUCAGUGCCGGAGAGAAGUUGUUAAGUCUGCUACGUGGGAGUACGUCCGCAAAGGAUGAAACUUAAAGGAAUUGGCGGGGGAGCACCGCAACGGGAGGAGCGUGCGGUUUAAUUGGAUUCAACGCCGAAAACUCACCAGCAGCGACUGUUACAUGAAAGUCAGGUUGAUGACCUUACUAGAUUUUCAG
This 264-nucleotide ribosomal RNA is filed under the name uncultured archaeon. Its description in RNAcentral is "partial 16S ribosomal RNA". It matches the Rfam family "Archaeal small subunit ribosomal RNA", at positions 717 to 982 of the family's 1478-position model. The record is from RNAcentral.